Molecule: ribosomal RNA, 288 nt
Filed under: Salmonella enterica subsp. enterica serovar Gatineau
Lineage: Bacteria; Pseudomonadati; Pseudomonadota; Gammaproteobacteria; Enterobacterales; Enterobacteriaceae
Description: partial 23S ribosomal RNA
Rfam family: Bacterial large subunit ribosomal RNA
Source: RNAcentral
AAAAGAACCCCGGCGAGGGGAGUGAAAAAGAACCUGAAACCGUGUACGUACAAGCAGUGGGAGCCCCACCACUAAGCCAGUGGUGAACUCCACAUACGCAUCCUUUGCUGAGGAUACGGUUAACGGAGCGCAAGCGACGUUCAACCGCAAAAGAAGCAGAGGGGGCUUAGUGGUGGGGUGACUGCGUACCUUUUGUAUAAUGGGUCAGCGACUUAUAUUCUGUAGCAAGGUUAACCGAAUAGGGGAGCCGGAGGGAAACCGAGUCUUAAUUGGGCGUUAAGUUGCAGG